GCCAGUGUGGUAUAGUGGUUUGAUUGUUGGACUAUAAAUCAAGAGACCAGGGUUUGAAUCUUUGCUUGGCCA
Non-coding RNA from Phrynosoma platyrhinos (Desert horned lizard), 72 nucleotides. Lineage: Eukaryota; Metazoa; Chordata; Lepidosauria; Squamata; Phrynosomatidae. The record is from the annotation of a GenBank genome assembly.